Pocillopora verrucosa is the source of this 879-nucleotide long non-coding RNA. RefSeq lists it as uncharacterized. Lineage: Eukaryota; Metazoa; Cnidaria; Anthozoa; Scleractinia; Pocilloporidae. The record is from RefSeq and is a predicted model, not a curated record.
UCUUCAAAUAACAAGCUGCAGCGGGUUCACUGAAUGUCACGGAAACCUCAUCUCUGAGCUCUGUCGGACGUUUCAAAAUAUUCAGUUAUUUCCCGUCGACUUUUGCUCUUACUAGGUAACGGAAAACGUUCGGUGGCUUAAGACCAAGCAAGUAUUCCAUUGCUUGAGCGGCCUCUGCGAAAAUCUGAGAUCUAGACAGAGAUUAAUUCAUAUUAGAAGGAGAUUUCCACAUCACAUUUGUGUCUAGUUUAACGUCCUCAUCGAGAGCGUCAAUCAUGGCCCCAGAACCUGAAAAAUACAACUCAACAGCCGAGCCUGAGCCGGAGAGUACAGCCGAGCCAAAAACUCUGUUCCCGGAGAUAAUGACCAAUCAGGAAGCGUUCCUUAUGUACGGGAUUUUUAUCUUCUGUCUGGCUGUCUUCUGUAUUUUGCUGCUGGUUCUCUACAUCAAAUUGAAAAAUAAGGUGAAAAAACUGGCUAAUGCAGCUGGAUCGAUGGACAUGAAAGGUUAUAAUGGUUAGCCAGAGGAUGUCCGAGAAGGCUCUGUAUAAAGAUAGCCUCUUGCUGCAUAGCAUGUGAUCACCAAUGACUUACAUUAUACUCAUGGAUAAUGAUCACCCUUAGGACAAUGUAAAUUCUGUAAAUUUUGCUGCCUUUAAAAGUCCCCAUAGCAGUAGCAAGUCAUCAUAUCGGGAUAAUCACACUUUCAGUUAAUCGUGAUUAUUGUAAACAGAUAAACAUCGUAAACUUCUAAGCUUUUUCAAUCAUUUUUGCGAUUGCUAAUCACUUUUACACAUGUUAAGCCAUUUUAUUGUAUCUUGUAUCGUUCUUUGAAGGCUCUGCACUUGGCUUGUUCAAUUAAAAGUCAUCUUUUACCCA